RNAcentral lists this ribosomal RNA (301 nucleotides) under uncultured bacterium. RNAcentral describes it as "partial 16S ribosomal RNA". It matches the Rfam family "Bacterial small subunit ribosomal RNA", at positions 509 to 809 of the family's 1533-position model. The record is from RNAcentral.
CAGUAGCCGCGGUAAUACAGAGGAUGCAAGCGUUAUCCGGAAUGAUUGGGCGUAAAGCGUCUGUAGGUGGCUUUUCAAGUCCGCCGUCAAAUCCCAGGGCUCAACCCUGGACAGGCGGAGGAAACUACCAAGCUGGAGUACGGUAGGGGCAGAGGGAAUUUCCGGUGGAGCGGUGAAAUGUGUUGAGAUCGGAAAGAACACCAACGGCGAAAGCGCUCUGCUGGGCCGACACUGACACUGAGAGACGAAAGCUAGGGGAGCAAAUGGGAUUAGAUACCCGCGUAGUCCCUGUCUCUUAUAA